Molecule: non-coding RNA, 184 nt
Organism: Fukomys damarensis (Damara mole-rat)
Lineage: Eukaryota; Metazoa; Chordata; Mammalia; Rodentia; Bathyergidae
Source: Rfam
AUUGCCUCUUGGUCCUGUGACCACGAUUAAAUACAUAAUUUUGUUCUUAGUCCAUUUGAUACUUCCUUUUUAAAGCACAAUACAUUUAAUGGAUUUUUGGACUAGGGAGAUCAAAUGGAGGCUUGCUUUGUACACUCCACACAUUGACCUGGUAUUGUAAUAGCUCUAGAUCAGUACACCCCAC